Molecule: ribosomal RNA, 587 nt
Filed under: Escherichia coli
Lineage: Bacteria; Pseudomonadati; Pseudomonadota; Gammaproteobacteria; Enterobacterales; Enterobacteriaceae
Description: partial 23S ribosomal RNA
Rfam family: Bacterial large subunit ribosomal RNA
Source: RNAcentral
UGGUGGGUAGUUUGACUGGGGCGGUCUCCUCCUAAAGAGUAACGGAGGAGCACGAAGGUUGGCUAAUCCUGGUCGGACAUCAGGAGGUUAGUGCAAUGGCAUAAGCCAGCUUGACUGCGAGCGUGACGGCGCGAGCAGGUGCGAAAGCAGGUCAUAGUGAUCCGGUGGUUCUGAAUGGAAGGGCCAUCGCUCAACGGAUAAAAGGUACUCCGGGGAUAACAGGCUGAUACCGCCCAAGAGUUCAUAUCGACGGCGGUGUUUGGCACCUCGAUGUCGGCUCAUCACAUCCUGGGGCUGAAGUAGGUCCCAAGGGUAUGGCUGUUCGCCAUUUAAAGUGGUACGCGAGCUGGGUUUAGAACGUCGUGAGACAGUUCGGUCCCUAUCUGCCGUGGGCGCUGGAGAACUGAGGGGGGCUGCUCCUAGUACGAGAGGACCGGAGUGGACGCAUCACUGGUGUUCGGGUUGUCAUGCCAAUGGCACUGCCCGGUAGCUAAAUGCGGAAGAGAUAAGUGCUGAAAGCAUCUAAGCACGAAACUUGCCCCGAGAUGAGUUCUCCCUGACUCCUUGAGAGUCCUGAAGGAACGUUG